Molecule: ribosomal RNA, 436 nt
Filed under: uncultured Candidatus Planktophila sp.
Lineage: Bacteria; Bacillati; Actinomycetota; Actinomycetes; Candidatus Nanopelagicales; Candidatus Nanopelagicaceae
Description: partial 16S ribosomal RNA
Rfam family: Bacterial small subunit ribosomal RNA
Source: RNAcentral
ACGGGAGGCAGCAGGVGGGAAUAUUGGGCAAUGGACGAAMGUCUGACCCAGCGACGCCGCGUGCGGGAUGAAGGCCUUCGGGUUGUAAACCKCUUUCAGCAGGGAAGAAGCGAAAGUGACGGUACCURCAGAAGAAGCACCGGCUAACUAYGUGCCAGCAGCCGCGGUAAUACAUAGGGUGCAAGCGUUGUCCGGAAUUAUUGGGCGUAAAGAGCUCGUAGGYGGUUHGUUACGUCGGAUGUGAAAAYCUGAGGCUCAACCUCAGACCUGCAUUCGAUACGGGCRAACUAGAGUGUGGUAGGGGAGACUGGAAUUCCUGGUGUAGCGGUGGAAUGCGCAGAUAUCAGGAGGAACACCAAUGGCGAAGGCAGGUCUCUGGCCAUUACUGACACUGAGGAGCGAAAGCGUGGGGAGCGAACAGAAUUAGAAACCCCCG